RNAcentral lists this ribosomal RNA (253 nucleotides) under uncultured bacterium. Its description in RNAcentral is "partial 16S ribosomal RNA". It matches the Rfam family "Bacterial small subunit ribosomal RNA", at positions 524 to 776 of the family's 1533-position model. The record is from RNAcentral.
UACAGGGGGGGCAAGCGUUGUUCGGAAUUACUGGGCGUAAAGGGCUCGUAGGCGGCCAACUAAGUCAGACGUGAAAUCCCUCGGCUUAACCGGGGAACUGCGUCUGAUACUGGAUGGCUUGAGGUUGGGAGAGGGAUGCGGAAUUCCAGGUGUAGCGGUGAAAUGCGUAGAUAUCUGGAGGAACACCGGGGGGGAAGGCGGGUCUCUGGACAGUUCCUGGCGCUUGGGCACGAAGGUCAGGGGAGCAAACGGG